CGUGGGGCCCGAAAUCAGCAACAUCCUCCAAACGCGACGGAAUGCAGCAGCGCAACUUGCCUGCGACGCCAUGUCUUAAUGAUUUCGCCUGAACAUGAAAGGACACAGAAAUUCGGCAGAGGUGCGGGCAGGUUCCGCGAUGUGAGCCCUAGCAUUCUGUUGAGUCAAUAUGAGUGCUACAAAUCUGCAUUUUGCACAUACCUUGCUUUUGUAACCAUCCGCAGCGCUCUGGUGAGUGCCAGAACUCCACCCCGCCACACGAAUCUUUCUUUGCCCCGCCCCAUAGCGUGUUGGUGAGGGCCUGCAUCUGCUUACGAGGCGCCUAUCACACAAGUAAUGUCUGUUGGUGCUGAGGCACUCAAGGUUUCGGACUGUGCAAAGUCGUUGCUGCAACGAUGUUCGACGUUUCAGGCUGUAUGUUUCACAGUAGUUGUGUUGCUGGUGUUGAUGCUGGUGACCGAGGGACGAAAGCAAGAGCGCAGCGGGCUCAUGGCACGACCCUGCGGGGCUCGCCGCGCGUGCCGUACCCCCCACAGGCCCGUAUUGCGUCGCCCGCCUGCGGGUGCCUAAGGAACCUUGGAGGGACUACAGGCGCAAGCACACUUAGUGGAGUUCGCGGUCGUCAACGGGGCUUACGAGCGCUGUCGCCGCGACUCAGCUUUCAUGCGUGUUGGAUGGGGUGGGGGGAGGCCGGGAGGGGCAGCACGGCGCGAUUGGGCCUUCCUGCCGCUUUCCCGGGCCCAGCAACCUUGAUAGUAUCCAUCCCAACCUACCCACAAGCAGAAACCCCUAAAGAUAACCGCAUUCCUCUGACCAAUCAGCCAUGGCGCAGCAGCCGAAGGGGGCGGGGCCUUCGCGAGGGCUCCAGCCAGCAGACCUGACACAGGCAAGCUUCCGGUGGAUGAUAAAUGUUGCAUGUCUUGAAGGCGUGGCGUGGGAGCGCUUACGCAAACUUGCAGUUUGCGCGACAAUGUCCCGCCUCAAACGAUCUCUGUAGUUACAUAGCUGUAGUUACAUGUUUCGUAUGCUUAUAUAUGCAACAGGAUGAUGAUGACGCAGAGGAGGCUCCCGAUACAGCUGUGCUACUGGCGUCCUUCCGCACCAAGGUGCGAUGAGGGCGCGGCCACUGGGCGGCGAGUCGGCUCGGGGGACUUUCCAUGGCUCUGGUCGCAGGCAUUGGCAAGGAGUAAGGGAAGCCUCCUGAGGGCGCAGCGCAACUGCGUGUUGGGAUGUGUCAGACCGCACACAGCACACGCGCCACGGCGCACUCCGCCGCGACCCCCAACCGGUCGGCCUGCAUUGCCAAAGCACCGGUUCAAGGCUCCUUCAACUGUCGUCGAACAGGUGGUGGGCGUGCGCUACUACGACGGGGAGGCCAACACGGACGAGGUGCGUGUGCGUGCCGUGUUUCGUAACUCGAGACUUUUAAUUUGAGAGACAGGGUGGGGCGGGUGCUAAUGGCCUACCAGCCCGCAUGAGCGUGCCGGUCUUGAAAGUGGCACGGGGACAGGAAGUGGACACACGGUAAGCCAAGGCCAGCUCCAGCACAUACACGCUGGUGCCACUGGCGUUGGUGGUCCGGGCUCAGGCUGGGGCUCAUUUCCACCACCCAAGCUUCCAAAACAAACACGGACGGUGGCGAAUUGGCGAUGAGUAGGGCGGACCCUCCACCCUUGUGCUUAUCUAACACAGAUGGUUCUGCUGAUUCGGGAGCCGAACAACACCUACGACCGCUGGUGCGUGCUGCGUGCCGUCGCUUCACCGGGGCGGCAGCUCGUGGCGUCAAGCCUGGCCAUGUCGGGGCUGGGAGGGGCCGGGAGGGGCUAGGAGGGGCUAGGAGGGGCUGGGAGGGGCCGGGAGGGGCUGGGAGGAGCUGGGAGGGGCUGGGAGGGGCUGGGAGGGGCUGGGAGGGGUGUGGCAUGGUGGUUCGAUAGCGAGCCAGCUCAGUGGCUGGCAGUGGGGUUGGCUGUGGCUGGGUCGUACGACUGGCGCUCACGUGGACGGCCGCGGCUGAGCCCCCAGCUCCACCGCGUGCGUCAGUCUAUAUCAACACACACACACACACACACACACACACACACACACACACACACACACACACACACACACACACACACACACACACACACACACACACACACACACACACACACACACACACACACACACACACACACACACACACGCACGCACGCACGCACGCACGCACACACACACACACACACACAGUUUUCCUUGUGCUCUUUAACACACACACACACACACACACACACACACCACACACAUACACAUGCACACACUCUUUGCACACACUCCCCGCCGCACAGGGCCAUCCGGGUGGACAACAUCCGCGGCGAUAAAAUCGGGCACAUCUCGCGCGAGCAGGCGGCGGUGGUGGGUAGUGGGCCGUGCGUAUGCGCCGUCAUAGCGUUGAUUCCCGCAGUGCCGCUUGCUACGACCUGCUUUUGAGUUUGCCUGGUGGGCGCACAUUCAACUGUCUGCUAAUUAUGGUGCCCGCUAGCAAUCGUAUGUCACAUGGCUGCGUCCGCCCCCGCCGUGAUCACAGCUGUCGCCGCUCAUUGACGCCGGCCAGCUGCGGAUCGAGGGUGAGGGCUGGGUCAAGGGCAGGGGAGGAGCGGGCGUGGUGGGCAGAGGAAUGCAGGAGCACACACGCGGCACGGAGCGUCAAGCAUCCUGCAAAGCGGACACACGCGCUUGCCCGCCUUCCAGCGCCCCCGCCACAUUCCCACCCGCACCUCCCCUCUGUGCCCAACACGCACACGAGCACACACGUUGCUGCAUCGCAUACACAGCCCUUGCGCUGAUACCUCCUUGUGCUCUUGACCACAAGCCACACAACCCUCCUCGCUCCUCGCGCACAGGCGUGGUGCAGGGCGCAAAGGGCCAGUACAACAUGCCAAUUGACCUGCUCGCCUUCACGCCGCCCGAGGCCGCGGACGCGGUGCGGCAGCAGCUGCUCAACGGCGGCAUCAGGCUGGGCAGAGCCGCGGCCGGCAGCUGGGCAGGAGGCGGAGCCGGCGGGGCGGCGGGCGGCGCGGCAGCGGGAGGGGCGCGUGCGAGCAUUCGCGUGCUGACGCCCACGGAGGUGGACUGUGCCCUGGACAAACUGUUCGAUGGUGGGUGCCGGGAUGAGUGGGUGGGUGGGGGUGAAUGGGUGUUUGUAAAAGCGGUGGGGUGGGUGUUGGGUGGGGUGGGUGUUGGGUGAUGGGGCGGUUGGCUGGGUGGGUCGAUCGGAGGGAGCAGCGGAAGAGGGGCGACGCGGGGCCGGGGCGUACAUGGGUGGCGGAACCCCAUGUGGGGAAGCGACUCCUCUUUGCUUUGUGGUGUGUGGCCCAUCCUGGCCGCACCCGUGCUCCCACGCCGUUAGCCUUCGUUACUGUCUUCCUACCACCACCAACACCGCCUGCUGUCACCUUCAUACCCGCCGCCACACCCGCUGCCACGCCCGCCGCCGCCUCGCGCAGAGGUGCACUCCACCGCCGCCAUGCAGCCAUCCAUGCACCCAGACCCCGAGGUACGUGUACGUGUGUACGUGCGCAUGUGCACGUGCAUGUGCUCCUCUGCAAUAUGCCACACGGGUGCAGAAAACAGCGCCACGCACGCCUUGCAUGGGUGGCUACCCCCCACGCCCCCCCACGCCCCCUCACGCCCCCUCGUCCAAGAUAAAGGGCAAGGCCAAACCUUCUGCGCGCUCUGUGGGCUGGUUCUGGAUCUUCGUUUCUUUGGGAUUGGAAUGAACUAACCCUCCCACCCACCCCACGAUCGCGGCUCCCCCAAAAUUGCCUACCGCCUACCAUUUCCUUAUCUGGAUAUGAUGUAGUACCCCCCCCCUUUGUACCUGGCUACGACUUCAUUUCGUAAACUAAUGCGUGUACCCCCCCCCCCCCCCCGCGCUGGACUUCACGGACAUCGGUAACAACGCGUCUACGCUGCAACUGUACCUGCCUACGACUUCACUUUGUAAACUUAAUGCGUGUAACCCCCCCAACCGGCACCACCACCCGCAGGUGCUGUCGCGGCUGUUCCCGCACCAGCGAGUGGCGCUGGCCUGGAUGGUGCGUGCCGCGUGCCGCGUGCGUGUGGGAUUGCUGCAAGUUUCAAACUAGUAAAAUAUUCUUGCUGCCAAGCUGAAGCAUCCCGGCGUAAUGAAGUCAUGGCUCUGGUGCCUUGUCCGCUCUUUACUCCCACGCUCGCGCCCGCAUCCGCACGGUCGGCCGGGGGGCUUGCUUAGCAUCAAUAACCCGCACAUGCUCCUCUGCAGCCAUGCACGCUCCUCCACACAAACACGUUUGGAUCCACGUGUUGAGGUGCCCUGUCCCUGUGCGUUUAUUGUAAAUUGACCACGUGUGGGGCAGGUCGCGCGAGAGAACGACAGCACAAGCCUGCCGCCGUUCUGGGAGCAAGUGCCCGGCACUGCCCCGCGCUUUCGCAGCACGCUGACCAACUUCGUGGGAGCACGCCGGCCGGCGGCCGUUCGGUGAGGAGGGGAGGCUGUAAACACCAGUCCUAACGAAACCGAACCAAGCUAAGCUAGCGGAGCACAGGCAGAGGCGUUAGUUGCAAGCGAUAAUACUUAUGGGAGGGGGCCGAGGCGUGGUGGAGCAGCAGGGCAAGCGGUGCCGGCGAUAAAUGUCGCUGCCGGGGGAUAGCCGGCUAUUGGAAAGCGAAGUGGCUAAUGCGCAAGUAUGAAGCGCCGGCGUCCAGUAGGAACAGCAGGGUGGUUGAGGGGGAGAGGGCUGUCUUCAGGAGGGGGGGAGGCCGGAAGGGGGUAUUGCCCACGCAUAUGCUCCAUGGGCGCCCGCGGAUGCCUGGCUCCGUUCCAGGUGGGUGCAUUUUGUGCCCGAGCCCAACGGAAAGGUCCCAUCAUCAGCAGGCGGGAGGGGGGGGGUUACCAUAACCAAGAAUAGACGAGCAGAGAUGCAACCGCGACAUUGCUGUGUCGGCGCGGCCUGUGACUCGGGUUCAUUCCCCUCCCGAGCUGUCAACAAAAUCCUGAGAAGCUUUCAUUGCUACCCUCGUCUCCAUACCGGUUGUGAUUUUCUUUAUGAAUCGUGAAUGUACUCCCCACCCACUUCCCCUUCCCCCACCCACCUUUCCCUUCAUCCAGCGGCGGCAUCCUGGCCGAUGACAUGGGUCUGGGCAAGACCCUCACAGUCAUCUCCCUCAUCGCCACCAACCGCCCUGGGCUGAAGGAGCUGCCCCCCGUCACGCCCCUCUCACUCGCCGACCCAGACCCCGACGAGCCGCCCACACACACGGCAGCAGCCGGCGCCGGCGCCGGCCCUUCGGCCUCUGCCGUGCCAGCCGAGGCGGCGGCGGGUAAGAGCAAGGCGAGGGGCGGCAAGGCGGCGGCCGCCGAGAAAGGCAAGGACGUGCAGGCGGCCAAGGCGGAGGCCCAGGCGAAGGCAAAGGCGAAGGCCAAGGCGGUGAGGGGCGGCAAGCGGCGGCGCAAGGCGGAGGCGGGCUCUGACGAGGAGGCGGCGAAGCAGGCGGAGGAGCCGCAAGAGGAGGCGGCGGAGGAGGUGGCGGCGGCGGGGGAGGCGGGACAGGAGGAGGAGGAGGUGGAUGACGAUGCGGCCCUGGGCGAUGCGGACGAGGAGGACGGCAGUGACUGGGACGAGGAGGAUGGCGCUGACGGAGAUGAGGAGGAGCAGGGCAGGGGCGCACCUGCUGGGCACGCCGUUGGCCCCUCCGCCGCCGGCCCCUCCGCCGCAGGCCCCUCCGCCGCUGCUCCGUCCACGGGCGGCGCCGCUGCGGCUGCAGCCACGGCUGGUGGCGCCGGCGGCGGUGCGCCCCCUCACGCGGGCGGCCCCCGCGGCACGCUCAUCGUGUGCCCCGUCAGCGUGAUGAGCAACUGGGCGCUGCAGCUGCAGGAGCACACGGCGGGCAACCUCAAGGUGGGGGUUUGAGCGGUGGCUUGUAUGUGUAUGUGUGUGUGUGUGCGCGUUUGUGUGUACGGCAUGUGUUUGUGUAUGCGCUUUAUUCCUUUGGCACAUCCGCCUCUUCCUCCCUCCUCCUGACCCAUGUGACCCUCGUCAGACUCAUCAUGUUCCCUUCGCCUCUAACCUCAUUUACCCCUUCCUCCACGCCCUUCCCCCCUGCUUGCCUUACCUCCCCCACGGGCCGCACUCAUGGGGCUCGCCACAAUAGAAGCCCCUCUACUUCCCCUCCUCUCCUACCCCUUUCCUGCACUCGCUCUCUGCCCCUCCCCCCCGCCCCCGUCUGCACUUGAAUGGAACAUCCCCCCACUAACCAUGAAUGUGCUGUACCGCUUUCCUAAACAUCCUUGCAACCCCACUUCCACGCUGCUACACUACUGUACCUGGCUACGCCUUCUCUUCUCAAAUAAUCAUGAAUGUAGCCCCCGCCCACCCCGCCCCCCCCCCACCCCCUUCACUUCAUAUUUGAUACACACCAUCCCAUGGAUGGCUACCCCCCCACCCCCCCACCCCCCCACACACUUUCGUUUCAUUUUUUAACACCAACACACACACACACACACUUUCGUUUCGUUUUUAACACACACACACACACACACGCACGCAUGUUUUCCUUGUGCUCUUUAACAUACGCUCGCACACGCAGGUGUACCAGUACCACGGUCCGGAGCGCUCCUCCUCGCCCGCGGUGCUGUGCGCGCAGGACGUGGUGCUCACCAGCUACGCCGUACUGGGCCGCGAGCUGGACGGCGCGGGCGGGCGGGGCGGGCUGCUGGGCGUCAGGUGGCUGCGGGUGGUGCUGGACGAGGUGCGGGUGUGUGUGUGUGUGUGUGUUUCGUGUGCGUGUGUUUCGUGUGCAUGCGGGGGUGGCGGGGGCAGGCGGGGAGAGAGCUUUGUGUGUGUGUUCUAUCAGCAAGUGGUUUGCUGUGUACGGUGCCGCAUCACGAUGCUUGCGUGAUGUCAUGUCCACGCCUGCGCUGUCGCACACGCGCACGUGUGCCACACGCGUGGCCAGCUGACUACCCACACUUCCAAACCCCCAACUCCACACCCCACACUCCAACCCCAAACCCUCCGUCCAUUCCUCCCCUCCUCCUCCUGCUCUAGGCCCACCUGGUCAAGAACCCUCGCGCCAAGGCCUCCCGCGCCGCCGCGCAGCUGCAGGCGGAGCGGCGCUGGGCCGUGACCGGCACGCCCAUACAGAACAGGUGGGGCGAGCAGAGGGAUUGGGGCGGUUGCAAUCCAGAAGCGGUGGGGGGCGGGCUUGGGGGUUGCAAAGAUUGGUACAGAGAAGUGUAGCGAAGUAGGCAGCACGCGUAGGGGGUGGGGGUCGGGGGGUGGGGGUGGUUUCGGAGCACAAGUGGCCGUGGGGGGUCGGGGAGUCAGAGCUGGGGAGGGGGCGGCAGUGGGGCUGGGUUGCCGGGAGCCGCGAACCUGGAACCUGGCCACAACUACUACUCCGUCCUUGAUCUCUUCAACUCUACCCCAUCUGAAAACGCCCCCUACCCCCAUGGUGUACCGUCUGCCACUUCCUUAAUUAGUCAUGAAUGUAACCCCCACACCCACACCCACACCCACCCUGCCACCCCCACACACAGGAUGCAGGACCUGCACGGGCUGCUGGUGUUCCUGCGGGUGGACCCCCUGCAGGUGAGGGGUGGUGGGGGAGGGGGAGAGAUUGUGUAUGUGUGCGUGUGUGUGUGUGUGGGGGGGGGGGGGGAAGUGCCCGAGCCCAACGACAACACAUCAUUUCUAAAAAGCCCACCCAGCCACGGGAAUGCAAGAUGAGCGCGCCAGGGGCUGCGGAGGGGCUGCGGGAUGGAGUGUGGGAAAACGCGGCUGGUUACGUUUGGCCUGUCGCUGUGUCGCAUGGGCUAUGCUGUUCAGUGCCCACGUCGUCGAUCCCAGCAACCACCUCACCGUCGCACCCGCAGUAGGAGUGUUGGGGGUGGGUGCAGUGAGCGGGGGCACACAUAGACUUGCGCACCUGCACGCCCCCUGUUGUUUGAGUUGCCAAACACGCCUUCCCUUCCCUGUCACCCCAUCUUUCCCCCGCUCGUUUCAGCUGGUUUUGGUUUAGGUUGGGCUGGUAUUUACAACCCCGCCUCCCCGCCUCCCCGCCUCUCUGCCUCUCAUCCCUCCCCCCUCAGGAUCGUUCCCUGUUCACUCGCACCAUCGAGCGGCCGCUCAAGCAAGGAGACCCGCGCGCCGUCAAGACCGUGCAGGUAGACAGGAGUGUGUGUGCGUGUGUGUAUGCGUGUGUGUGUGUGCGUGUGUGUGCGUAUGCGUGUGUGCGUGUGUGUGUGUAUGCGUGUGUGUGCGUGUGUGUUUGCGUGUGUGUGUGUGUGUGUGUGUGUGUGUGUUAAAAAACGAAACGAAAGCCCGCCCAAUGACGCGACGGAGUUACUUACCGAUACCCACCAUUUUACCGAGCGUCGCGUGACUGUCGUGACCCAGGUAGUCAUACUUACCCGCGAUAAGCCUGGAACCCCACGGGCGACCAUUCGGCCUGACCCCGCGAUGCACCUGUAUGCGUCCAUGCUCCGCACCCUGGGCGCGCCGAACAACGUUUACCCAGCACGCCUAAUUCCCAGAUUCCCGCCCGCUGGUCGUAGUCAAGCUCACCUAUAGGCAAAAGUGGAAGCAUGGGCAUAGGGCGGCAGCGAGGAAGUGUCACGGGCAUGUGAAUGGCAACGGCGACAAGAGAGGCGGCGUGCAGCAGACAAGCUAAGUAUCACGCCUAAUUCCCAAAUCCCGCCCACUAAGUACAAUAACGCUAUGGAAAGAGGGCGAGUUAGCGAUGGCACUGCGACUAAACGGGGUCAAGGCUGCAUGGGGGACGUGGCGGGCGGCGGUUGCAGCGUUUCCAGACGUGUCAGGCUGGUGUGUGUGCGUGUGACGUGUGUGCGCCGUGGGCUGGCGGGAGCUGGCCUCCCGCUCCCCACUCCACGGCGGCACCGAGGCUAGGCACGCUCGCGGCCGCAAUGGCCGCGUCGGCUGUUCGUGACGAGCCCCAGACGUGUCAGGCUGGUGUGUGUGUGUGUGUGUGUGCAAGUGUGCAAGUGUGCGAGUGUGUGUGUGUGCAAGUGAGUGUAUGGUGAACGCGCUGGGCACCAAGAUGAGCGCGCUGGACACCAAAAUGAAACGCGCUGGACAUUGCGUCCAUCGCGUUUACCUUGCUUUCCAGCGCGCUCACCUUGGUGCUAAUGUCCAGCGCGUUCACCUUGGUGCUAGUGUCCAGCGCGUUCACCUUGGUGCUAGUGUCCAGCGCGUUCACUAUUGGUGCCGGUGAUGUGCGUGCGUGUGUGUACAUGUGUGGCGGGGUGAGGCUGUGUGCUCCGAGGGUGCGGGCGACCGAGCUCAGCCGCGCUGUCUUGCCUGCUCCUGCCCCUCCCUCCGUGACCGCCCUGGACCCCCCGCCUCCCCCCUUCCGGCCCUCCCACCUGCCCCCUCCACCCCCUCCAACCCCUCCACCCCCUCAUCCCCUCACCCCCUCAUCCCCUCCCUGCCUUCCCGCGGCAGGUGCUGAUGGGGGCGCUGGCUCUGCGCCGCACCAAGGACCUCAGGGUGCGCGUGUGUAUAGGGUUGGGGGAGGGGGGGGGUUAGGGCUUCAUGGAGAAUGGAGUGAUUAGAUCACAGUCUUGAAGUGCCGACGUCCAGUAGGAACAGCCGGAAGUUUGUGUGUGGGGUUGUAAUUACCAGCACACACUGAACCGAAACCGAUGCAAAAGAGCGAGGAGGGAGGGGGUUGUAAAUACCAGCCCAAAGUAAACCAAACCGGGGGGAAGGGGGGCAGAAAGCGGGGAGUGGUGGCGGGCAAACGGCGAGGAGGUGGGCGGGUGGGGAGGGUAGCAGUGUGCCUGGACAGCCCACGGCGGGCGUGUCAGGCGGCACGCCCCCAAACCUCCCCCACGCCCCCCACACCCAACCAUACCCCCAACCCCCACGCACCCCACACACACCCGCAGGUGGGUCCCGCCGGCCGGCCGCUGGUGGCUCUGCCGUCCAAGACCGUGCGGCUGGUGACGGUGGACCUCACCCCGGAGGACCGGGCCAAGUACGACGCGUGAGUGGCGAACUAUAUAUUUCAAACGCAUGUGCUUUUCGGGGUUUUGGGGAUGGGGCUGGGCAUUGAUGAACCAUCAGGAGUACUGUAUCCAGGUACGAAGUACUCCAAGCAGCAUCAGAGGCGUCCGUGUGCGUUUUCUGCGUCUUCCUUGCCAUUCGCGAAACACCGCGCGCACGUACGCCCUUCAAACAGACACACGCUCUCUUCCCCGCCUUCACCCGCCCCACCUCCCCCGCACACACACGUACACACGCACCAAAUUCAGUCUGGAGCUGGAGGCGCGGCGCAUCAUCUCACACGCGCUGGCGACAGACGAGCUGCUGGACCACUACAUCAGCGUCCUGGAGAUUAUCCUAAGGCUGCGCCAGGUGCGGAGGGCGGGCACGUCGCCGACCGAUCGACAGGUUCAACAAUUCCUCGCGGGUGAUAUGAUCUCUCUCUAGAAUGAUAAUGCCUGCUGCGCCCCGAUUGACUUGCUUCCGUGUAACAUCAUGUGAUACUGCGGCUUGACAUCGGCACACCUACCUAAUUCUUUGCUUUCGCAUGAACGCGCCCAUUUCAUCAUUUCUGUUUAUAUCUCGAACCCAACUGCGCGUACGCAGGUGGCGGACGCGGGCUGCCUGUGCGGCCGCGACCCGCUGCCCCUGUCCGACAUCUUCAACGCAGCAGCUAGGCGCCAGGGGCGGCGGGGCCGCCGCGGCGGCGGCGCGGCGGCGGCUCUGAGUGAGGCGGAGCGGAAGGCGCUGGUGGAGCUGCUGGUGCAAGGGCUGCAGGUGUGUGUGUGUGUGUGUGUGUGUGUGGUUUCGUGGGUGCCCCGCGGAGGGGUGGGUGGGUUCAACCAUUGCCAGUAAGAAGCCCGGAAGGGCCACGCAUACAACCCCAACGCAGCAGCCCACCACAAACACACUUGCACUUCACAUUCACAUACCCACAGUUUUGCGUGUUUCUGGCUCCUUGUGCUCCAUCCCUGACACUCACAUUCCUCCACACUCUUUCACUCUCUCUCAUACUCGCUCUCUCACACAUGCUCACAGGCCCAGGACAGCUGCUCCAUCUGCCUGGACGAUUUCACCAAGAACGCAUGCAUCACUCGCUGCAAACACAUGUACUGCAAACCGUAAGUAGCUGCACACCAAGUGCGACAAUUCUAAACGGUUUGCAGGCUUGGCUGGCCUGGUCUGAGCCUCGGCCGCCCGUGUCAACUGCCUUGAACCGUGCCACCCAUCACACUACUAUUGAAACACACUGCCCUGGUCUCUUUUGCCCUGGUUUCUUUCUCCCGCUCACUCCUUCGCUCCUGUCUCGCUCAACCCAUAGCUCACUCCUUGCCCUAACUCCUGCAUUCCUGCCUCGCUCCCUCACUCCUGCCUCACUCCUGCCUCACUCCUGCCUCACGCCUGCCUCACCCACUCCCUCACCCCUGCCUCGCUCCUCCCUCGCUCCCUCACUCCUCACACGCAGCUGCAUCGAGCGCCUGCUGACGCGCUCGCCGGACGCCGGCUGCCCGCUGUGCCGCGGCUACUUGGCGCUGGCCGAGCUGGUCGACCUCCCGCCCGAGGCGGCGGCGGCGGCGGAGGGCGGGGCCGACACGCAGGUGAGGAGGCGUGCGUGCGCGUGCGGGGUGGUAAUGGUGGUGGUUCCAUGCAUGAUUAGUUAUGAUGCGAUGAUGCUGAAAAGUCGUUACAGCAGGUCAGUUUUGGCGUUUGGGGGCCGGGGCCUCGUUUCGGGGGGCUUCACAUGCGGUAUCGUAGUAAUAGUAAACACGCCCUAUCCAUUCCAAGAUUUCCGACCCAGCUCCGCCCCACCCCAGGCCGGCUCAGACGUGGCCGACCCCGUGGCCGCCAGUGCCAAGGUGGCCGCGCUCAUGGCGGCACUGAGGCAGCAGCAGCAGCAGGCUGUAGCAGCGGGCGGCAGUAGCAGCAGCGGAGCAGGAGCGGGGGCGCCGCCGGCGAAGGCGGUGGUGUUCUCGCAGUUCACAGGUGCGCGCGACAUGAUGGUGGACAUUAUGGUGGAGGUCAGAAAGGUGUAGGCUUUUGCGGGCCCUCAACCCCCAAACCUCCCCUCCCUACCUCCUUGUCUCUGGUUUUCUUGUUGGGGUUCGGAAUAAGCUACCCACAUCCGCCUCCUACCUGUUCAACUCCAGGCAUGCUGAACCUGGUGGGCCGGGCACUGGAGGCGGAGGGCAUCUCCUACGUGCGCCUGGACGGCUCCACGCCGGCCAAGGCGCGGGCGGAGCGGCUGCGGCGGUUCGCCAGCCGCGAGCCAGGCAGCCCGCUGGUGUUUCUGGUGAGGGGGUGAGGGAGGGUGUGUGGGAGGGGAAUGAGAGGGGGUGUGGGAGGGGGUGUGGGAGGGGGCGUGGGAGGGGAGGGGGCGGGGGUGUGUGAGGGCGUGUGGGAGGGGAGUGGGAGGGCGUGUGAGGGGCGUGUGAGGGGGUGUGGGAGGGGAGUGUGAGGGCGUGGGAGUGUGUGUGAGGGGGUGUGGGAGGGGGUGUGGGAGGGGAGUGGGAGGGGAGUGGGAGGGCGUGGGAGGGCGUGGGAGGGCGUGGGAGGGGCGUGGGAGGGGCGUGGGAGGGUGUAUGAGGGCGUGUGAGGGCGUGUGGGAGGGCGUGGGAGGGCGUGGGAGGGAGUAUGAGGGCGUGUGAGGGGGUGUGACGGGCGUGGGAGGGGACUACGUUCAUGAUGAGUUAAGAACGUGGUAGACGGUAGGGGUGGGAGGGGGUGUGAGGCGUUAGGCGAGGGGGAGAGUGGGUAAGGGGGUGAGAGGCGAGUGGGCAGGGACCGUGUCUGGUCUGACGUGUGGUCUGGUGCGGCGUGGUGUGGUGCUGUCGCUCGACCUGGCGUGCAAACUUACAUGGCGCGUCGCGAAUGGGGGCGGGGGUACCAGGGCCUCAUGCACUCCCUCUCACGCCCCCUCUCGCACAGUCCUCGGCCCCAGGCCCCACCCCUGACCAAUCCCCUGCUCGCCCCACCCCACCCCACCCCACCCUUGCCACCCCCAACCUCCGCCGCCCCACCCGUCUUCCCUCUCUCCCCCCUGCCUCUCCCCCCCUCUCCCCCCUACUCUACACUUCUCUGUACCAAUCCUUGCAACCCCCCUCUCCCCCUUGUCCCGCCCUGUCCCGCCCUGUCCCCCCCGCAGUCCAGCCUCAAGGCGGGCGGUGUGGGCAUGAACCUGACCGCCGCCAGCGCCGUACACCUGAUGGACCCAUGGUGGAACCCGGCGGUGGAGGAGCAGGCCAUGGUGCGUGCGGGUCGGGGUUGCAAGGAUUGGUACAGAGAAGUGUAGCGAAGUAGACAGCAGGUGUGGCGUUGCGCGUACCGAUGACCGACGCCGUCCACAGGUCCAGCGCCAGAGCUCGCCGUGGCGUCCCGUUUUGUGCUGGCUAUACCUAAGUCUAGAAGCAGGGGGCGCUGCAAGGAUGUUUGGAAAAGCGGUACAGGAUGCAUUGGGCGGGGGGGGGGGGGGUUACAUUCAUGAUUAUGUAAGAAGUGAAGGCGUAGCCCAGCGCAGUAGUAUGUGAAGGGAAGGGGGCAAGGGGGUGUGGCGUGUGGGUUUUGAGGGCAUGCAGGAUGUGUGUGAAAAAGGUGCGGCGGGUUCGAUGGGCAGUGGCUCAGCAGUCUGUGUGGCGGGGGCUCACCAAACGGCGCCUUAAAUGCUCUUUCCGUGCACAUGCCAGCCCCUUUGCUUGGCACGCUUACUCCAACUACUACUCGCUCAAUGUACGAACACACGUGCGCCCACGCAGGACCGCGUUCACCGGCUGGGCCAGACACGUGACGUGGAGGUGUGUGCGGUGGGAUCUGGGGGUUAACUUUUGAACCAAUCCCGUAGGGAAACAGUCGCGCUGCAAGGAGGCCGCCGAACGGCUCCCUCGCAACCCUGUCGGCCUGAACGCGGGAUCGGGGGGGCGGGGGUGCGUGGGGGCGGGGGCCGGGGGCCAGGGGUCAGGGGCCGGGGGCGGGGUGUGCGGCACGGCAUUGCCGUACGUGGUCGGACGGGUGAGGCAGUGACGAUGGGCGCGGGUCCCUGACUCCCUGAGGUCUGUCGGACCUUGUUCCCUGCCGGUGCCCUGUGCACAAGAUGGUCAGAGAGCACAGGGCAUGGAGGUGUUAGUGGGAAUGUGUGUGCAAGUGUGUGCAUCCUGCCGCCGCCGCCGCCGCCGCCGCCCGCAGGUGUUUCGCUACGUGGCGGCGAACACCAUUGAGGAGCGCAUGCUGCAACUGCAGGUGCGUGUGUGUGUGUGUGUGUUUGUGUGUGUGUAUGUGUGUGUGUGUGUGUGUGCGUGCGAGUGUGCGAGUGUGUGUGUGUGUGUGCGUGUAUGCGUGUAUGUGUGUGCGAGAGUGUGUGUGUGUGUGUGUGUGUGUGUGUGUCUGUGUGUGUGCGAGUGUGCGCGCGCGCGUGUGUGUGUGCGAGUGUGUGUGUGUGUGCGAGUGUGUGUGUGUGUGUCUGUGUCUGUAUGUGCAUGCGUGUAGGUGGGUGUGGGCCAAUAGAGGGGGGGACAAACGGGGAGGACAAGGAAGAGGAGGAGCGACCGGCUGCGGGAUGGCUUUGUGUAGAUGGACGUGGGGUUGGCAAACAGGCAGCCUCCCCACCCACUCAAUCCCACCAGCGGCACCGCACAGCAGUCCGCAACGCACGAGGUCCUCCACGUACGCGCGCGGGGGGCUUGGCCACGCCCCUCCUCACCCACCCCACCUUGCCCACACCAUCCCACAUCAUCACACCUCAACGGUCACCAACCACACCCCACCGCGCCCCACCUCACCCCACCUCACACUACACCGCCCCCAUUACUACUGUUCCUGGCUACGCCGUCACUUGUUAGAUAAUCAUGAGUGUAACCCCACCCCGCCGCCACCUCCCCCUACCGUCUACCACUUCCUUAACUAAUCAUGAAUGUAACCCCCCCAGGAGCGUAAGCGGCAGCUGGCCUCCGCCGCCUUCGACCGAAGCGCCGCCGAGAGCGGCCGGAUGCGCAUCGAUGACGUACGACUGCUCAUGGGGCUGGAACCGGGUUCGCAGCUGGAGCUGGAGCUGCGGGUGCAGCGGUACCAGGAGAUGGAGGUAGAGCUGUGGCUUGGGUCAUGACUGGGUGAUGACUGAAAGUUGAUGGCGGCUGUAGCCGAACCCCUGGCGGGGAUGCCCAUGGGGCUGAGCCAGGAGCUGUAGCUGCCGCUGUAGGGGGCGACUGACAGUGGCAGCUGGUGUGUAUGUGGGUGGCAGCUGGAGGCUGUAGCAGCGGCUGUAGCAGCGGCUGUAGAGGAGCUGUAGCAGCGGCUGUAGGGGGCGAAUGACGGUGGCAGCUGGAGGCUGUAGCAGCGGCUGUAGCUAGCUGGCGGCGGGCGGGUGUCGCUGGCUGGCGGCCGGAGGCUGUAGCUGCUGGAUGGGGCUGCUGGGUGGGGGCGUAGGGCUGCUCGUGGAGCUGACGCGGUUGAAUGUGGUGUGAAUAAGGGCUUUGUGCGUGCUCAGCUCUAGAUAGGAAUGCAACGAUGUGAAUACGGGCAGCGAAACGGUACGGUAGCUGCAAGGAUAGCUGGAAGGACUUGGCGUGUUUGGCAGCUCCAGCGGAUGCUUGGCAUACGGCGGGCACAGGGUCCUUGACUUGUGGCUGUGCGAGUGAUCAUGCCACAAGACAGGAGUCACCCUAGCGUGUGAGGGGAAUGUGCUGGCGUAGUCGCGCGAGUGCGCGACGUAGUGCGCGACGUACUCUGUCGUUGUGCAGAACGGUCCGGUAGUGACUUGAAGAAAAGUAGGUAAGUGCGGUCCGCGAGCCUGAGCGGACUGGGCAUCUAAGCGCAUGCCAUACUGCUGGGCGCGGCCUGUAUUCACGUGGUGAAACACGCCGCCAAGUCAAUUCAGGAGCAUCACCAGCCAGUCACUCAGUCAUCAUUUGUCGUCAACCGGACCGGCAGCCCCACCGAAGUUUAGCACACGAUCGCACGAUGCCAUGCCGGAGCAUGCAGCAGCGGCACGCGCUGCUCCUUCCUCGCCUAACCCCCAAACACGCACGGGCCUGAAGCCACACAGCCCUCCUCCUCACCACCUGUACCUACAGCCCGCUAGCCUCGUUACAGCUUGAAGGUACCGCUUAUGUCUGCCGCCUCAUGCUCCACCUAACGCACCGCCACCAUCCACGCCCCUUCACAUCACCACAGCUUCCCGCGCGUCGCAGCGCCCCUGCCGGCCGUGCAGCACGUCACCGCCACGCCGCCCAUGCACCGUCAGCCCGUCACCUGCCCUGCAGGCUGUGCAGCAUGUCGGUGCACGUGCGGAUGCGGCUGGAGGCGCUGGACAGGUCGCCCAGCAGCGCCCGCACGUGGGCCUGCAGCGGGGGAAGAGAUAGAGGCGGGGGCAGGGAGCGCGAGGUGGCGGCGUGGUGUAACGGAAUGUGGUGGGGUGGUGGCGGGGCAUGUGACAGUGCUUAAGUGACAUACCGGCACUUAGUUUGAGCUAGAAGCACGAAGAACUGCGACGUGAAGACACCCACUCGCCCUCUCACCACACCCAUACCGGCUCCCCAACCGCCCACCCACCCGGACGCAUACCGCCCACCUGCAGCUGGUCCCAGUCCUGCGAGGGGCGGCCCGGGUGCAGCCCCUGCGCGCGCACCGCCGCCGCCAGCGCCCGCAGGCAGCCCUCCAGCCCGCCCAGCGCCACCGCCACGCCGCCCACCGCCGCCUUGUCAUCCGCGAUGAAGCCCUUGAGCGGACCACUGGCGGCGCCAGCCGCCGCGGCGCCGCCACCAGCGGCGGCGCCCGCGGCGCUUGGCGCCGUCGCGCCAAGGCCUGCCAGACCUCCCUCGCACACCAUGUCGGCGUCCACGCAUGAUGCAGCGGCAGCGGCUGCGGCUGCAGAGGCGGCAGCAGCAGCAGCAGCAGCAGCAGCCAGGGUGGUGGCGGCGGCCGUCAAAGCCUCGCCGCCCUGCGACACCGCACGCUGCAGAGCCGAGCUCGCCGCCGGCCGACCCAGGCCUGCGUCGGGCAGGCACGCCUCCCGCGCCGCGCCCUCCAGACGCGCCGCCUCCGCCGCCCGCGCUCGCGGCGCCGACGCCGCGGCGGCGGCGGCCGCCGCCUCCUCGUCACUCAGCCGCCGUGACCAGUACGACUUGAUGAGUGCAGUCAGGUGCGGCGGCGGGCCGGGGGCGCCGGAGGGGUCGGGCGGGAGCAGGCGCCGCAGCGCGGGUUUGUGCUGCUCCGGCACGGUACGGCAGAUGCGGAUCUUGCUGUGCAGCGCGGCGUGCGUGACGGCGGGGUGCGGGUGGCGCAGCAGCACGUGGAAGAGCGCCUGGCGGGCCGGGGGGAAGUCGUGUGCGUGGGGGUGGUGAUGGUGAUUGUAGGUUGCAACACGAGUUUGGCGGUGGGCUGAGGAAAGAACCGUGUGUUUCGUCACCAUGCAGCGGGCUGGGGUUUGACAUAAAAUACCGCGUCCGUAUCGCGCACUGCAAACACAGCAGCUUGAGCCCAACGGCCUGGCACCCCGAGCCCGCCCGAACCCCACCUCCGGCGGAGGGGAUGUGCAGAACUCGGCGGCCGCCGCCACGUCCGCCACCACCUCUGGCGGACCCGCCUCCGCCAGCCGGGUCAGCGCGGGAGCCGCCUCCGCCAGCGCCGCCGGCAGCAUGGCGGGCGCGGCCCGUGCCAGCAGCCGCACCGCCGCGUGGGCGGCCUGCAGCGAGGCUGGGGUGCCGCUGACGCCGCAGCUGCUGGUGCUGGUGGUGUUGACGGCGUCUUCGGACAGGGUCUGUCACAAGAGGUGGGGCUAGUCAGCAGUCACCAACAAUGAACAUUACGUACACCGGCGCCUUGCAAACCGGGAGGUGCAAUCGGGCAGCAGCAAGCCACCGUGGCUACCCAGCAGCACGUGCACCUGGUGCCUCACCUGCAGCAGUUCCACCGCCGCCACCCCCGCCUGCGCCACCAGCGGCUGUAGCGCCGAACAGCUGGAUGCGCCACCGCCCCCACUGCCCCCAUCACCCGCACCCGCACCACCACACGUGGCUAGCGACUGGGCAUGCGCCAACGUCACCUCCAGGCAGCCAAGCAGCUGCGCCAGCCAGGGCCGCAGCAGCGACGCCGCGGCGGCCGCGGCCGGUGUGCCGCCGGCGCCCGGCGCCGCGGCGGUCAGGAUGGCCGUCGCCUGCGGACCCAGACCAGACCAGACCAGACCAGGCCAGACCAGACCAGACACGCAUGUCAGCACAGCGGUGAUGACACACGAGGUGCAGCAAGCAAGGCGCAAUGCACUGGGCGGGGUGCGCACUCAUUGGCUUUCCGCGCUACCGGUAACGCACGUGUACGCGCACAAGGUUACGCGAUCUCCACCUCGACGAGGAGCAGAGCAAGCGGGCGUAGGGCGGAGCCGCAGAGGGCCGGUUCCCACAUUCACCCACCUGCUUGACCGCCGUCAGCAGCUGACUGGCUCGAGCAGCUAGCUCCUGCUCCGUUACGCAGCCCCGCCCAGACCCCAGCGGUGGCCCAGCGCUGCCCUGCGUUGUUGGCGCCGCGUGGCCCGCCGCCGCUGCGGCGGCGGCGGCGCCAGCUGCACCGGCGGCGGCUCCCCACAGCGCCCGGGCGGUGGCGGCGCUGCAGGUGUCGGGUCCGGCGGCGGAGCCGUGUGUGGCGCUGAAGUGGAGGUGGGGGUCCAGCACUUGGCGCCAGGUGGCCCCGGCCCCGGGCGGCGCGGCCUGUGGGGAAACGGCGAGCUCCAUUCAGUUAGCAACGGCGGGCCGACAGGUCUUAGGAUGUAUGGGCGACUUUGAUGAAAAGGGUUUGCAGCUCGAGCCAAGCACUCGGCCGGGCAAGGAGGGGCAGGAAGGGUUCACACCGGCAGCUGGCGUCGGGCGCAGCAGCUGCACCCGCGCGCCCACCACGCUAGCACGCAGCUGGAAACCAUGUUGACUACAUGCCUGCAGGCCGUCAGCUGCACUGCUGCCGGCUCACCGCUAUCAGGGAUGAGAGCAGGCGCUCCAGCCGCCGCGCCGCGCCCGCCCCCUCCACGACGUGUCCCACCGCAACCGCUGCCGCCGCCUCGGCCGCCGCCGCCAGCCCCGCCAACCGCGCAACCGCCGCAGUGAGUCGGCCGCCCAGCGCCGGCUGGCAGUGCGCCACCAACGUGGACAGCACGUCGGCGGCGGCGGUGGACAGCAGCGGGUGCGCGCAGCUGCCUGCGUGUCGGCGGCAACAAUGACGGAGGGUUUGCAGGCGAGGGUCGUGUAUGCCAUGGCGACAAGCGUGGUUUCGGCAUGCAUGCACGGCACAAGCUGCGGAAGUGCGUCCAGGGACAAAGUCUGCGGUCGCAAAGGAUCCUCACACAAGCGCGCGGCAAUGCACGCGGGGGAUCCGCGACACUCACCCCAGUUGCACAGCACGCCGCACGCGACCUGGAACGUGUCCACGUCCUGCCCGCCCGGCGGCGGCGGCGCCGCCGGGGCAGCGCCGAGCUGUGGGUGGUGUUGAUGCUGCUGCUGGUGGGGAUGGCUGGCGGCAUCGGCGGCAACGGCCGUCAGCGUCAGUGCUGCCGCCGCCAUUUGGUGGGGCAGGUCCAGGCAGGGGGCGGCCGCCGCCGGCCCGCCCAGCUCCAAGGCCUGGAAGUCGGUGUGCAAUGAUUAGCUCAUGAAGCGAAUUGCAGCGGCAUUGCUGCAGCGCCCUUCAUGCCAUCAGCGCACAUGCAGGGAAGCCCAUGCAACGUCGGCCACGGUCUCGUUUUGCCAAUGACAUAUGUUUGCGGCAACACACACAAACACACACACACACACACACACACACACACACACACACACACACACACACACACACAAUUGAGGCAACACACCCACACCCACACGGUGCACACGCGGCCCGCCUACCAAGUCGUACAGCCGUGUCGACACGGCGUGCCCCGCCCACGGCAGCAGCCGCCCCGCCAUGGCCGCCCGGGUGUCCGGCCCCAAGUGUGCCGCCCGCUGCAUCAGCGCCAGGGCCAGCAUCACCGCGCCGCAGCAGGCGGCCGGCGGCGGCGGCGGCGGCGCUGCUGCUGCCGGCAGUGUGGACGGGGCGGAGGCAGAGCUGGGCCGCGCCAGGGCCUCUAGCUGAGACAGCCGCUCCUGUGUGCGCGCGCGCAGCGUGCGUGAGGCACGGCGAAGGAAUGCAUGUAAGGGGAGCUAGAUUUAUUCAUCAGGAAGAGGCGCAACGCAAGCAGCCGACACCCAAAACCCAGAUGCGCAAACCAACUGCGUCCGUUGGCAGCUGCGUCAGUUGCGCGCAUGUUGCGGACACAAGUAUGUGUGUUUGAAGGGGCAAGCGCAGUGCGGCGUACCGCACAUUCCCACAUGCGCAACGCUGCCCCCCCACCUGGAUGUCGUGCUGGCUCGCGGGCAACAUCGCCGCGACCAGCCCCGGCUGCUGCCCGCCCGUCCCCGGCCCCGCCGGCGGCGCCCCUGCCGCCGGGAAGCCGCUCCACGCCAGCACCGGCGCCGCCGCCUCUAGCGUCAUGGCAAUGAGCGAGGUGAGCUUUAGCAUCACCACCGACUCCAGAUCCUGCGCCGCCCUCGCAUGCGGCGAGGCCGCAGCCCCCGCCCCCGGGCCCGCGCCCGCGCCAGGCUGCUGCGAGCCGGGCUGCCCCGAUGCUCCAGCGGCCGCGGCCCCGGCCCCGGUGGCGGCGUAGCCGCAGCUGGCGAUGUGUCGGUACAUGUCGGAGGCAGCUGCGCACAGCUCCGGCCAGCAGCCGGCGCCGGCGGCUGGGUGCGCCUGCACCGUCUUGACGAUGUGCUGCAGCCAGAAGCGCGCCACCUGCAGAGCGGAGACAGAGACAAAGGCAGUGGGCAGAGGCAGAGAUAGAGACAGUGGGCGGAGGCGGUGCGGACCGAGGCGGUGCGGAUGGAGGAGGCGUUGGGAAGAGCGGCGCGGAGGCGGUGCGAGGAGGAGCGGGGGCGGAGAGGUCAUGGCCAGAGCUUUGUGCGCACAGCCGCGCGCGCGCGCAGCCUACAUGCACUUACAUCUGCCGUCCCGGCCGUCCCAUGCGCUUCUCGUCCUCUUCCCACGCCCACGGCCCCAAACCCGCACGCCGCCUCACGCCACCCCACGGGGUUCGCACCUUGAUGCGUGUGUCGAAGUCGGCCGGCCCGCUGCCGGGCAGGGCGCGCGCCUCCGCCACCAGGUGCCCCAGCAGCCCGCGGAGCACAGCCGCCACCACGCCGCCUGUGCGUUGGGCGCGGGGUGGAGAGCGGGCCGGGGCGGAGUGGCAAGUGGACAGGAGGGGGGCAGCGAGGGGGGGGCAUGUGUUCCCGACCCACAUCGCCCAGAGCAUUUCCGAAAGCACCGGAGGGUGUGGCCAUCCAGCAUCGGCAGGACGAAAUCACGGAUCUAGACACCCGACACUAAUGAACUCAAUCGCUGCCUACUUGUGACCGACGUCCGCUGUGCAACAAGCUACAUAUAAAUGAUGUAACCCGGCGCAAUGCAGGAGCCCCACCAGCGGACCCCGCAGCCUACCCCAUCCGGGCGGCUGGCCCCAUAGCUGCAUUCACAUGCCACACAUGCGCUCGCUCGCUCUUUCUUCCUCACCGCUCAGCAGCUGCGGCAUCCCGUCCGGUGGCAGCCCCGUCAGCGCCCGCGUCAGGCUGGUCCACAGCACAUUUACGCCGCCGAACGAGCGCAUCUCACGUGGCACCUGCAGGGCAGUGAGAGUGCAACAUGCCAUCGAUUAGCAUCGCGCUUUACAAGCAGGUAUCGGUGUCAACGGGCAGCUUGGCAUGUGCCUAGCGGGAACGCAGCCAGUGCUGAUUGCGCCGUGGAGUUCACACACGGACCCCGGCAUGCGCACAUUCAUUCUCACACACGCGCUCUGGCCUCCCAGGUCACCUGGGGGUCAUUGAUGCUCUCCGCCGACUUCUUGGCUGCGGGGAGGGGUUGGGCACGGAAAUGCAUGAUCAGGGCAGCUGAGGGCCCACGAGCACAGCCUCACUCCGCCCUUGCCGCCGCCUAAGAUGCGGUGGCCCCGUCCGUUCUGCAUCCAGAGUCCGCAACAAGCACGUGUCGCGGCCUUGUCCAUGCGCGCCGCACCGCGCCGUGCCCGUCGGGGUCGGCUACCGCACCCACCCAGGAGCCGCAGCCCUUCAGCCAGGCCCGCCACCAGCGCCCGGCACGCCGCCAGUCGCUCCUGGCCGCCGCACGUGUCCAGCUGCGGCUCCACCGCUGCACACGAACGCGUGAGAUGCCAGGUGGGCCAUAAAAGUCAGGAUCAAAGCCCCACACGCGGUGCGAAUGCGGCAAACGCUACCGGUGCUGCACAGCUGCCCCUCAUCCCAGCAUGCAUACAUCCCUGUCGGUACCGCACGCGAAUCGCGAACCCCGGCGCCAGCGUUCCCAGGCGACAAGCCUGCCCUCACCAGGUGACCAACCUAACCGCGGCCAAGCAGCCUUAAAGUUCUCACAUCGGUGCCCCUCCCCCGUGCAGGCGUAGCCUACAGCCACCCACCCCGCCAGCACGCGUCAGCUGCCUCCAACGCCGCCGGCGCCAGGUCCUUGACGUAGGCACGAGCAGCGUUGCCCAGGGUCACAUACAGCUGCGGCCCCAGCGCCGAAUACCACCUGUGCUUGCAAGCGGCGUUGGCAAGAAAUGUCGGCGAGGCCAGGGCCGAGAAGCUGGCAACACGGUAUGCGCCAACGCUGGUGUGGAGUCCUUCGCGGGAUCCCGGACACGUCGUGGCUCUUACUCGGUGGAGAAAAACGCGUAAGACGCCAGUUCUAGCGCUGCCACCACAAAGUCCUGCACGGCACCGAAGUCCGCAUCGGUUCAUGAGGUAGGGAGUUGGGAAGCUGUGCUUGAAUGCUGCAUCGUCCCUGCCCAGAUGCCCCAGUCAUCCCUCACACCCCAGCCCGUACGUGCCUUGAGCGACGAGCAUGUUGUGGGCGCCUCAAGAGCCAUCGCUGUCGCCACACCCUGCGAUAUCCACGACACUGUGCUGCCAGCAAGCUUCACGCAGUCCUGCGGACAUGUGGGCAGCCGGGACGGGGCAGCGGCCGAGGGGCUCAACCGGACGCACACGGGCGUGCACGACGGUUCGCAAGGCAAGGCCGCUCCUGCUGCAGCUUGCCUGCAUAGCCUCCUGCCGCCCCCCUGCAUAGUCGUUGGCGAUGCGCCCAUAGCAGGCGCUCUGGAACGCCGAAGCCAGACCGCCAAGGAUUUGCGCGGCGCUGCUCAGUUCUACAGCCGCUGGCUCCAGCGACGAAAUGCGCUCUAUAUAUGUAUGGAUAUGACUAUGGUGCAGCACCGCGCUGCUGCUGGCAUGCAACUUUUCCUCCAUUCUCACAGCCCUACACAAGUGUUGCAGCUACAUGAAAUAAUCUAAACACAAAAUGCUUGUACUAAAAGUGAAUCAUGUUAGACGCACAGUUGUGCGUGCACGCUCACGAACUGUCGCUAAUUUGCAUUUGCUGGAUUCAAGCAAUCAUCUUUUGUCAACCUGAAUGCUAUAAGUCUCUCAAGAAGACCGUAAACAUACCGUGUGCACAAGCAGGGUGUUCAUAUGGUUUUCAGCUUGCGCUGUGUUUCGGCACGGGGCUGCUCAGGCCCCCGCCCCCGUUUGUGAGCCCCUAGUCCCCCCCAAGUUAACUGCCUAGCUCCAAAUAUGGUCACGCUAGCGCUGUGCCCUCGUAACCAAAUCACUCGACUCGUCCUCUUGCUGUACAUAACAUUACUAACUGCCCUGUCCAUUCCACCGAUUUACAUACAUACUACGUGGCGCGGUAUCCCGUCUGACCGCAUGAAUUUGGCUCAUUCUCCGCGCAUUCAUGGCGCGGUUUCCGCUGUAACAUUAAUAAAUUAUGGAUCCCUAGUCCCUACAUGGUUCUCUUAUCCAUGACUGCACCAUGUCUGCCUUGAAGACUCCUUUACUACUGACAUCACCACUGAAUCCUAGGCACCGACCUAAACCACCAUCAGCCGCUGCCUGAUCUUUUCCGUUCCCACUUCCCAGUCCGCUUGUUGCUGUUGCUGCUGCUGUCCCCUCACCCCCCAUAGUUCUCACCCAUUGAGUGCGCCAUGAAGCCCCAACCCGCAAUGCAGAAGUCACCAGGCAGUCAGGCGUGAGAAAGGCAACGCACCAACCGCUGAAUACAACGCAAUUAACGUCACCACUCUUGGCUUGGGGCCCCUGUCUGGCGGUUCUGCAAGAGGUGUACCAUAAUCACGCCCUUUCCUUACUCGCUGCUAUUCCACUCACCCAUCACCCAUGCAUGCCAGGCGCCAUCUACCACCGCACCCCAAUCCACAUACCUUUGUGGCCGUCACGACCACACAAAGCCUCAUCUCAUACGUCAUAGGCUCAUAGCAGCAAGGCUCACCGCCCCCACUCCGCAACCGCCGGUUCAUGCGCACCUGGCACCUACCAACCCGCCACAAUCCCCUCACUCCCUCAACCCUCCGACCUGCGCCGCCGAUGGCCUGCCAGCCGCCCCGGCCCCGCCCCCGCCCCCGGCCCCGCCGCCGCCGACCUAUCCGCCACUGCCUGCAGCAGCUUCACCGCCAGCUGCCCGCCGUCGCCCUGCGCCAGCUCCGCCAGGCUCUGCGGCGCCUGCGCCAGCACCUCCCGCUGGUGCGCCGCGUACCACCUGCACAGCUCGUCCGCCAGGACAAAGCCCCCGCCGGCUGCCCCAGCUGCACCCGCUGCACCCGCUGCACCGGCUGCCACAGCUGCGCCCGCUGCACCCGCCGCACGCGCCGCGCCUGCCGCGCCGCUUGCGCCAGCAGUGGCGGUGGCGGCGCGGGCCACCGUCAGCGGCCAGCCGGUGGACCAGCGCAGCACGGCGGUGAAGGUGGCGGGCCGCACCACCUCCAGCAGGUGCCGCUGCGCCGCCACCCGCAGCCCGGGCAGGUCGAGCAGGUGCGCCAGGUCCGCCACGGCCAUGCUGGUGUGGGCGUCCCAGUCCUCCGCGGCGCCCGUGUACAUGUAGGCCACCACGUGCCGGAACACGGGCGCGGUGUAGGGCUCCGGCAGCGGCACCACGCCGCCGGACGCCGCGCUGCCCACCGCGCCGAACAGGUCGGCGAAGAAGGGGCUGCGCGCCGCAAGCACCGCCCGGUGCAGCGGAAAGUCCUGACCGCCCACCCGCACCACCACAUCCGGCUGCGGGCUCCACACACUGCCGCUGCCGCUGCUACUGCCGCUACCGCUGCCGCUGCCGCUGCCGGCGGCGGCAGAUGCAGCGGCUGCCGCCGCCCCGCCGCAGCCCGGCGGUAGCAGCGCACCCAGGUCGGCGGCGAGCGCCGCGCGCCUGGCCGCCGCUGCCGCCGGCGACGUGAGGCAGUCCGGCGUGAGUGGCCGGCAGGGCCGCAUGUCGCCGCCCAGCCUGAGCAGCCGCAACUGUCGGCAGUCGGUGUGCGGCUCGGUGAUGGCGAGCCAGCCGUGCGGUAGGAUGCGCAGGUGCGGGCUCCAGCCCCGAUUAUGCCGCAGCUCCGCGCAGCUCCGGAGCGUCAUCAGUGUGGUUACGCUGACGCGGCCGUUGCCGCCGCCGCCGCCGCUGCCGUUGCUGCUGCCGCCGGGGGAACUGCCGCCUUGCGGUGGCUGUAGCCGCACGCGGACCAGCCAGCCCAUGUUGAUCGGGUUGCCGUCGGCGUACACGUCUUCAGGGCCUGGCUCCACCUCUGGCUCAUCGCCCUCGUGCACGAGCAACAGAUCGCCACUCUCCUCCACCGCAAUCCCCCGGAUGUAAUGUAGCUUCGGUGGUGUAGCGCCUGCUGCGGCCCUUGCCUCGGUCCCGGCAUCUGCACCAUCCCCUGCUGCCGCGUUCGCGCCUGCGGCGGGCGCAAUCUCACGCCCUGCCUGCACGUCGCCCCCCGCCCCCGCCUCCUCUGCCCCCGCUGCCUCUGGCUCCGCCUCUUCUUCAUCGUCCUGGUCCGAGCCGUAGAUACGGCGGUGCCUGCCGUGCACCAACCUGCGGAGUUCAACGCCGCCUGACGCGUUCUCCGCCCACUCAUACACGCCCCCCUCCGCCGCCAGGUACAGCGUGUCCGUGGGGUAGUGCAGCGCCAGGCCGGCGGUGGUGCCGGCCUGCGGCGGCAGCAGCGCCUGCAGCGCCACAGAGGCGAUCUUGCGGCCGCACACGCCCGGCAGGAAGACGCGCACCAGCGCGGCCUGGUGGACCCGAUGGCGGCUACCGGCAGGGUCGUCCUUGUCCUCGAUCCGCCAGUCAGCAGCAAUGUAGAGGCAGCCCUUGCCGUCAGGCACCAUGCCGUUCGCGCUCCGCACGCCCAUGUUCAGCAGGGCGUCGGGCGCCAGUAGCCGCGUCACGUCGCCUGCGCGGCUAAGCGAGAGCAGCCCCAGUUUCGGGCCGAGCAGGUAGGUGAGGUUUGUGCAGGGGUCGUGCACGGCGUGGUGGGGGUAGGGCGGGUCGUCCUUGCGAACCGGCUUCGGCAGGGCCAGGGGGCCCUGCAAAGGCAGAGCCGAGACGGAGCCAGGAGUCCGGGGUCAGAGCCGGGUGCUUGGCCAUCAGAGGGGUGAACGACGACAUGCAAAACCGGUCAAUUUCGCCCACGGCUCCACUAUUCCGUCAUCUACAUUUAUAAUGACACAUUGUUGCGACGCACCGUUGGGCCUUUGGAGGGCGUUGCGGAGUCGAGGCCUACCAGCGACAUUGUGUAAGGUCUUGUGCCGUGCGCCGAGACCUCCCCGUUGUAUCGUUCCGAGAAGUCAAAAUAUACUUGUACGCUAUUAUCAGGAUGCAAACACACCGCUGACACGCCCAUCCCCUGAAACUCCAGAACUACGCUCGCUGCUGCCAUCGCCCUGUCGGCUCGUGCUGUUACACAAUAUCCGCAUGCACAAUUCAGCAGGAAAUGAUUAAGAGAAGGUUACAGAAAUAGGGCCCAUGCAGAGGCAGCCUAUCGGGCAGCCCAUUGGGCAGCCCUGCAGCCAAUCCGGCCAGCCCAGGCUGCCCAGCAGCGGCCGUGCGCGGCGGUACGCAGCGGUACCUACGGGAAAUUUGUGCAGACGCUUAACGCUGAAGCAACAGCACCCAGCACGGCUACCGGAAGCACUAAGCACAACCUUGCAGAAGCGCGCAGGACGUCUCCAACAGGUGGGGUGGACAAGGGGUGGGCUUGGGGGAGGGGGGAAUCCGCAAGAGUGCACCCGUGAUGGAACAUGGCAAGGGGCAGGAAAGCGUAGUCCCGAUGUGUGUGGCUCCCACCCGUGCCCACAUAAAUGCGUAGCAAGAAGGGACAAGGCAUUGGUGCGUCGUUCGCGCGCUGUUACUGUACCGACGGUAGCUGGCAGGUUGUGUCGAUGUUUUGCUGACGCGCAUUCCUCACGCUCCGGGCGCCCGGCCAAGGCGAUAGCACCACACAGACUCAAUGCGACGCCACACCGCGCGGAUAGCAUAGCCGAUGCGCACCUGCAGGCAGUCGACCGGCGUCCACGGAUGAGCUGUGUAGACGAGCACUAGCGUAAUGCAACGGCGUGCAGCAAAACAAUGGCCGGGCGACAGUGUGACAAGCAGGGGCAAGAACAAGGCGAAGCAAAGCAGAAGAGUGCACCUGUGCAAGACGCCAAAGUUUGGCAGGGUCGACCAGUGCCCUGGGGAGACGCGGUGAAGUUGAGAGGGUGCUCUUGAUGAGUUGAUGUGAUUAAAUCGCAGGAGUCCGACGGGCGGCAGAACGCCGCAACGUGGCAGCGGCUCGGAGUCACAGACGUUCACGCCCUUCACGCUCGCUCACGUGCGCGAGGGUUAGGGGUCCGCACCCGUACUCCUCUCAGUGAAGUGCUAAGCCCCAGUAAAUGAUGUGCACGGUACAAUAAAUUACAGUCAUCGCGGCACUAAUCGGCACCUCCCUCGCUGCUAAAAACACUGCCCUAACCAGGGGAAGCCCCUUCACGGGGCCCCAACCCGUUGCGCAUCCAUCUUACGUCUCUAAUCCACUACCAGGCAAUCAGGCAUGGGCAAGCGCAGGCCUGACUAGUCUAUGUUAAAGAGAUGCCGACUGUACACAAGCCUACCCUCUAAAUCCCAGUCAACAAAUUGUCACGUGCGAAGGGAGUGCGGCACCCCUGGAGCGCGGUAUUGAGUCAACUGCGGCAAUCCGACCAAUCUUUGCCGUGUUCGUGCUCUUGUUCCUGUAACAUCGAGGAUCACUAGUCCCUGCACUGAUUCCGUGAUCCAUGACUGCAAGUGUCUGCCCCUUCAACAGAUCGACUGCUGCACCACCUAAGCUCCCCUGAAUCCUAGUCACCGACCUAAACCGCCAUCAACCGCUGCUUGAUCUCAGCCGCGCUGUUGCCAGCGCCGUCUGAGCCCACACUUCCGUUCCCGGCCCCCUUGCCACUGCUGCUGCUGCUGCUGGCAGCGGCUGGCGCCGUACGCAACGACAGCGGCCCGCCUGUGCCCGCCGGCAGCUCCACAGACACGUCCCCGAGCUCCAGAUGCACCUCGGGUGGCGGCGCCAGCACCGUAACACGCGCGCCGGUCCGAAGCACCCGCGUCAACGCGUCACGUGUCGUUGCAGCCGGCGACUCGGAAGGCGUCGCGACGUCGGCGCCGGCAGACGUCGCUGCGGCAGCAGCUGCGGCGCCGGGUCUCCCGCGCUGCCGGCGCUGCUGCUUCUGCGGGUGCGCCACCCCGGACGUCGACGCCUCUGCUGACGCCCGCCGCUGCGCCGCACCAGAUGCGGACGGCGCCGACUCCUCGGCGUCGCUGCCGCUGAGGUCAGGGUCCGCAAGACCCGACACGGACACGCGGCGCCGCACCUCGACGCCGGCGCCCUCAUCAUCAUCAUCCGCCCCUGCCGGCUCCGACUCCCCCUCCUCCUGCUGCUGCUCGUGCUGGCUCGCCGCCGGCCGCAGCCCCGCCUGCUUCCUGGACAUGGACAGGAAAUGCCCGACCUGCGUGCGAGCAUACCGGAUAGCCAGCCAGCACUUAGGGUUGAAAGAGUCUGGUAGUCCCAAUGAUUCCUGCAAUCCUGCAACCUGCUCCGCCUGCCUCUUUGCCAGCCCCCGGCCGCCCGUGCCGCUUACCUGUGCCCGCUACCGUGGCCCUCUCCCUACGGCCGACCCUCCCAACACACACGCCCAACCGCCCGCCUCCCCACCCAUACCUGCUGCGCCGCGUAGGCUCCGCUGCCCGCCUCCAGCGCCCUCAGCCGCUCCUCCGCCUCGCCAAUGAAGUCAUCGACCUUGGCCAGCCCUUGCACCGAGUUGAGCUUGCGCAGGCCCGUGAUGAUCUGACCCAGAUCGAUGGCCGACAGCCCCGAACCCGACCCCGCGGCGUCCGCCGCGCCUGCUGCUACUGAUAGGGCUGGAUAUGUUAAUGCCGACCCAGUAGAAGAUGGAGAUGCGGAGGCAGAGGGCGAGAGGUCGCGCAGGCUGCGCAGCGGGGGCUCCGCCCCCGGCUGGUGCAGCGCCGAGGUGGGGGCCGCCGCCGCUGGUGGCGGCGGCUGCGCCGCCUGCUCCGCCAGCGCGCGCGCUGCGUUGACGAAGGAGUACGUCCAGGCGGGCGGCGGGCUGAGCUGCAGCUCCGCCAGCGACCAGGCCAAGGUGGCGAGGCACCAGCCCGACAUGGAGCCCAGCUUGUGGUACGUUACCUGUGGGGCGAGAGGGAGGAGGAAAGAUGAAGGGAGGAGGAGGAGGCGGUGGAUUGGGCGGUUGGCAAUGUAUGGAGGAAGCGCAUGCUGCGAGGAUGGGAGCGGUUGCAGGCCUGCGGCCCUGCUUUCGCAGCGGUGAGUGCAAGGACUGAAGCUGGUGAGCUAUGGGCCGUUGCGGGCUGGAAGCGAGUGGACAUUGUGCGAUUGGACGUCACGCUGCACAAGUUGAUUCGCACACCUUGAGGAAUUCGGCCGUCCACUCCUUGUCGGGCCGCCGCCGCAUGUGCGCCAGCGCCCACACCAUGGAGCACAGCUCCUGUUGAGUGGGAAGAGGGGGGGGGGGGUUGUAAGUACCAGCCCAAACUAACCCGAACCCAAUGCAGUAGAGAGAGGAUGAGAGCGCGGCCUAUGCUUGACAACGGAGUGGCACGCGACAAUAGUCCCGAAAUGACUUGGCGGGGGGUUGCAGAUACCAGCCCAACUGAACCAAACCAAACCAAGCUAAAUGAGCGGAGCACAGGCACGGGGUGAUGAGCGAUGAGGAGGCAGUGAGCGCGUGAAUAGCGCAUGGUGAGCGCGCAAAGGGCGGCGAAAGGCUGCGUGCGUUGUGAGCCAGUACGCAGUCCUUGCCGGCUUUCCGACGCAUGCACGCCGUGCCCCCUCCUUGUCCAUCCGCGCCCUCCAGGCACUGCUGCAUUCCUGCAUCCCAUCUCAUGCCAUGCCGUCCCCUCCCUAACUACACGCACGCACGCACGAAGUAACGCACCUGCGGCUUGAAGCUGCUGAGCCGGCGGUCCGUGGCGAUGAAGAACAGCGCCAGCACCUCCGCCGGCAGCCGCUCGCCGCGCACGCCCAUCUUCGCCAGCGCCCACAUGGUGUUGGCAACCUCCACAGGGCUGAACAUGCUGGCUGUGUGCUGCAGCCGGUUCAGCGCGCCGCCCAGCCACGCCUCCGGCGGCGCCGCGCCCAGCCGCGCCAGCGCCCACAGCGACUGGCUCAGGUCCACGGGCUUGAAGUAGGGAAGCUGGCGGUAGCUGGCGUCGUAGAAGUCGCGCAGCCAGGAGCGCGAGGGGUAGAGCCGCAGCCGCGCGCAGGCCCACACGCAGUUGCACAGCUGGUUGGCCUCCAGGCGAGGCAGCUCCCACUCCAGCGCCAGCAGCAGGCGCCGCCCCACCUCGGGCCGCGGCUGCGCACCCCAGCUGCCCAGCGCGUACAUAAGCGUCGACAGGUCCAGACCGUUGUAGGGCGCCAGCGGCCGCCGCGGCUGCUGCUGCUGCUGUUGCUUGCGGCCGCUCCUACUCCCGGAAGAGGAAGCGGCUGCAGCGCCCUCCGCCUCGACCUCGUCGUCUUCGCUCGAGGAGCUGAAGCCGGAGCGGUCCCGCAGCGCCUGCAGCUGCAGCAGCCGCCGGCGCUCCUCGGCGCUGCGCGGCAGCCGCGCCGCCGCGUGUGCGCACACCAUGUCCAGCAGGGCGGAGGUGGGCGGGCAGCCCAGCUUGGCCAGGCCCCAGGCCAUCUGGGUCAGACCCUGCGGAGGCCAGCGGGCGGGCGGGUGGGCGGGUUGGGUUCCGGGACGCAGGGCAAGCGCGGCGCGGCGCCACGACGCUCUGCUUUCCGUGCUCACCGAAUAAAGCGCGCACCGCCGCCGCAUGUACCCGCACAGACACCAGUCGGUAUACUGGUGCAACCCUGCUACCAAUUCAGCCGACGCAUCAACCCACGAGCUCCUGCCCCCCGCACACGCGUGUUGGCGCCCGCACGCACACACAUACACGCACGCGCACACCUGCGGCGAGAAGGCGCUGGGACCCAGGGCCACCGCGCGCGCCUGCGCCGCCGCCAGCCACUCCUCCCCCGGGUGCUGCUGAGACAGCGCGAGCGAGUAGACCACGUUGGACAGCGAGCGCCCGCAGAAAGAGCCCAUCUGGGCCUGUGAACACAAGAUAGGUGGAGUGGCGAGGUGAGUGGCAGCAAGCUUCACGAUCAAUACUGCCCGGCUACCCGGCCAACAUGGCGCCUGUUACCGGCAUGUUCCUCUCAUCAACGCCAUUAUCGACGGUAUCAGGCCUGGGAGAUUGGCAGGCCUAGAGCGCCCACUUCUGUCCACUGGUGCAGCGUUUAUGCUCAAGCGUGCUAGCUAUCACCGGGCUGCGCACGCCACAGCGGGGACGCCCUUACAAACGCCCGACCCACCAUGACUCCGUAUUUGAGCUAUGCGUGAAAGGAGCUACGCUACAUCCAACUCGACCGUCGCUUAAGGUUCGUUCCAGUGCCCUCCGUUCUUCCCUCUUCGUCCACCAGUCCCCCUCACUCCACGCCCUCGCUCCGCACCUGCGAGUGCUCCAGCAGCUGCCGCAGCCGCGCCGGCGCCACCUUGUAGUGCAGCCGCGCCAGGCCCCACAGCAGCGUGCUCACCUGCGGUCACGGGCGCAGAUGCAGGCUCCUUGUCCCGCUACCCCAUGCGCAGGAUGUGCCGCGCCCCUCGCCAUUGCCGUAUCCCGGCACCCGUAUCCCUCUCCAGUGGAUGCCUGGUUCCGCCAGCCUGCACAACACUUCCAGCCCUGCUGGCAGUCACAGCCGUGGCGCCCGCUAGCCUCUGCCGCCUUCCAGCGCCGCUCGCGCUUCGUUCCCCCGUCAUCGCCACUCAAGCCCACCCAUACCUCCCUCCCUCCUCCCAACCCCUGCCUGUCUCACCUGUCUCACCGGCGCAUUCCUCACCCGCAUUAACAUCCCCCGCGCAUCUCUUCUUUCCACGACUCCCAUCCGAUCCUUCCUCCUCCCAUCCACUCCUUCCUUCCCACAUCCCAUCCCAUCCCUCCUCCUGCCCGCCGCACCUCCCGCGGCGCGAAGCGCGGCAGCUCCGCGGCGCAGCAGCUGAGGAAUGCGUCCAUCCACUUGGGCGGCGGCUGGUGGCCCUGCCGCGCAAAGGCCCACAGCAGCGACGCCAGGCCGCGCGGCUGCAGCGCCGGCAGCUGCGGCUCCACGGCGGCGGCCAGGCCCGCAAGCAGCUCGCGGUCGGGCAGCUCCAGGCGGGCAAGGCUGAACGAGCGGCGGCGAGGGGCGGGGGGCGGGGCGGGGUCGGCAACCCGUCCAUUGCGACCGUCGUUUGGGGGUGGGCAGUGAUGCACGGUCGUGGCCCACGGUAUGGGCCAGAUGGCCCCCCCUCGCGGCCUGUGCGGCCCCUGGGUGCCCCCAGCGUCAUUCGGCCCGGGGCGCCUGCACGCGCUCAGCCCAUCAGUCCAUCAGACCAUCAGUCCAUCAGCCUUCACCACCCCCAGCAGUCCCUCACCUGUAAGCCGCCACCACCACCGCGCGCGGGUGCAGCUCCGUCAACUGCCGCCGCAGGACGCUCUGCAGAACCAGGGGACAGGAGGGUCAGGUGAAGCCAGACUAAGACCUGAGUGCAGCCGGUGGUUGACAGACGUUUGGCACCUCACGGCCCUCGUCCACAAGGCAUCUGUGUUGCGACGCCGCCCACAUACCAGGCCCUUACCAAAUCAGGCAGCCAGAUACUACGCCUGCAUGCCCCCGACCCUGCGACACAAAACCCCUGCUCAUCACGCGCCACACCACGACGGCCAGCAUACAUUGCUGCAUCCCCCUGACUUGCUUGCUGCCCUCCUAGCACGACUGCUAUGCCGUGCCCUGCCUACCCUGCACCGCUACACGCCGCCCGGUACCGCGGCCGCCAGCAGCCCGCACCUGCAGCGUGGAGCAGCCCUCCUUGAACAGCCGCGACUCGCGCGGGCUGAGGCCCCGCCGGUGCAGCGCGAGCACGCGGCUGAGCGCGGCACAGGAGUGGUAGACGUUGAAGUCGAGUGCGUUGUCCAGCAGCAGCUGGUGCAGCCGCGUGUAGGUGGGGCAGGUGGAGAUGGCGCGCGUGAGCGCCGUGCGCGCCUGCAGGCUGCUGGGCGGCGGCUGCCACGCCGGCAACGCCACGCUGUGGCGACUGUAGGGCCGCAUGUCACCGCCGCCACCGAAGGAGGCGGAAGAGGAGGAGUGCGGCUCGCCGGCAUCGCCGCCUGUGGCGGUCUGGAGCUGUUGCUGCUGCCGUUGCUUCUGCCGGUGCCGUUGCUGUUGGCGCAGCUGGUGGUCGUCGGGGUUGCCGCUGGCUGUAGCUGUGGUGGUAGGUGUGGCUGUAGCUGCUGCGGCCGCGGCGCCAGAGGUUGAUGAGGUCGAGCCGCCCUGGCCGGCAAAGUCGGGCGAGGUCAGGAAGGACACCAGGGCGUCUGGCCCCGUGGACGUGCCCAGUGGGUGGCUGCCGUUGCUGCCAUUGGCGCCGUUUGAGCUAUUUGAGCCGGUGGCUCCAGUUGUGGGGCUCGCUGCGCCCUUGGGUUUAGCUGCCCGUCGCCCUCGCCCCUUCGCCUCCCCGCCGGCCUGUCCCGCUUGCGCGGGCUCGGCGGGCGGGGCGUCGACUGCCCCGUCUGCAGGGCCCCCCGAGUCCGCUUUACGAGCCGGCUGGUGUAUGAGCUUGUAGGCGUUGUGAUAGCUCUGGAGCGACUGCAAGGUAUAUGGGUGUUGCGGGCACGCGCUCAACACACUGUGGCGACAAUCGCGGCACAGACGAUAGACGCUACUCAACGGACACAGCCCAAGACCCCUGUGCUAUGCUCCGUCUUGCCUUUUCCGUAUAAUAACAACCAAAAGGAGAGUAUUUAAGCUUUGGCAAAGUUUGGUGACCAUUCUACAGGGCCCUGCCCCGGCGCAGCCUGAAACGAGGCCCCAGCCACGCGCUUACCUGCGUUACUUGGCAUCUGAUUUGCUGAUGGCAUUUGCGCCCUCGCCGGGGAGUCAACCUGUGCACCAGGCGCAAGUGCAAGCAGAAGGCGUUAAAUCGUCUUAUCCGCUGCCUUCGCUGGCCCUCUGAGUGGCGCCCAUUCGAGCAGUGGGACCCAAACUGACCUAGUCCUGCAGUAUGAAACGCUUGGCGCUGAAUAGCUCGUGGACGGUGGACAAAGCGGCUCGCAGGCAGCGGGCCGAGCCGGCCACCCGCUCAUGGCAACACACUGAGUAUACCAGUAAGUCACCAAGUAAGAAACGGUUCAGGGUGCUCGCAUCGGCCAAUUCAGCCUCGCCCGAAGCUAGGCACCGCCGCAAUUCUACUCGUGUUUUGACCCAGGAUAAGGCUAGCUGUGACACUAGUAAUAAGGCUUAAAAGCACUUGUUCCAUUUCCACAAUGAAACCCUUUGCCUGUGACAGAGCCAAGCUGCGACCGCGUCCCAUGCAAUCAUGAGUUCCAAAUACUGCGUGUGCAAAGAGCAGACCCGAAUAGACAGGAAGCGUGUUCAUUCAAGUCAUUAACGUAGGCCAUCAUAAACACUAUCGCGCUAGAAAGGUUCACGCGUUCAUUUGUCCAGCUCAGCUGGAGCCUUACCGGGGUCAUCCGCACCUGCUUGGAAUACUGUCUUGUGCUGAGCACAUCAUGAUGCAGCAUUUAGGCGGCAAGGCUGCGUAUCGACAAGGCCCGGCGCCGGUUCGUUGCGGCACUCCACGCACGCGGGCAGUGAGGCUCGUCGUGCAUGCAACGCAAUCACAACAAUGUAUUGAUCUGAACGGCGCCAACGCGCUAUCGCGUCGGGGCAUGCUGCUGGGGCUAUUAGGUGAGAACCCGCGAUGGUGCUUGCGUUGCUGCGUUAGUGUUACAGAAUACGUAUAUAUGUAUUCGCAAACUAGGUUGUGACGCAGAUGUUAACGGCCCCUCGCAACCCACCCGCGCUCUUACUGUCCGUAGGGUGCGCCGCGUUGGUCGGGCCCCGCGCAGCUGCUGCAUCCAGCACCGCACCGGUGCCCAGCCCUGACGGCGCCGCCACCGCGCCCGCAGACCCCUCAGCAGUAUCCAGCACCAGUGCCGCGCCCAUAGGCACCGCGGAUGCAGCCCCCAGUAGCAUCACUAUCACAAGCAGCAGCAGCGGCCCGGACGCGGCUGCAGCCGGCGCCUCGUCGGCGGCACCCAACGCCAGCAGCGGCGCCCCCACAACCACCACAACCACCAUCACAACCACCACUACCCGCAUUCCAUUGGAUGACGCCUCGCUAACCGACGAGGCGGCGCGGCGGCUACUGAUAGAGGAGGAGGAUCGGCGCAAGCGACGGAAGAAGUCGCAAGGGCGCUUCAAGGAGCUUGAGGAUGUGCGUGAGGGGGUUGUAUAUACCAGCCCAAACUAAACCAAAUCAACCCAAACUAUUGGGGUUACUGUCGCGCGAAGUGCAGUAACCCGUACCGUGCGGCGCACACCCGCCGUACGGGAACGUUACGAAAUGGGGCUCGUGCCCAGCGGCACUUGUGGGAACGGCGUCCUGUGUUUAACCGUAGCGGGUUACGCAGGCAUGCGUGUAUGGCUGCGCGGCGUGCUGCACAAGUCUCGUCAAGCUGUCUCCUGCGUCUCCGCUGUGUCUCCUCAUGCGCUGUGUCCUGCCUGUCCUGCCGCCCAGAUCCGGAUCGAGCUGGCAGAGAAGGAGCUGGCCCUGCUGGAGAAGGAGAAGGCGCUGCUGACCAAGGAGCAGACGCUGGCCGUGCUGGCAGAGGAGGUGAGAGGACUCGGAGGGGCCAGACCGGGGUGGGGCGCGUGGGAUGGAGGACACGGGUGGAGAGGUGAGACAGCUGGCGCCAGCUGGGAGAGCGUCGACAAGAACAGAAAACGUGGGCUGCGCCUACGAACACGUGGCCUACGAAGUAUUAAGUGGCAUUCGCGGUUUGCGCCAGUAUUGAGUUUGGUGCCGACGCAUCAGCCACGCAUCACGCACGCACGCGCGGACCAGGGUGUCCCUGAGUCGCUCCGCUCCUGGGGCGCAGCCCAUAAAAGGGAGUUUGGAAAUGCAAGGACGGGAGUAAGGCUGUACACCUAAUCCGGCCUAGCACUGCGGUUUCUGCAGGCGGGAUGGUAUGGGCGGCCGAAGGGCUGGGCUGGACGGGAAGAGGGGGGCUGUCGACGAGAGCCUCAAUGUGCCCGUGUGGUCUGAGCCCGCCGUUCCAGCCGCAUGCCGCAGUUGUGUUUGCCCUGUGCAACUGACUCCAGACAUGGACUCCGGGCGUGGGCAUGGACUCCGGGCAUGGGCAUGGGGUGCCCCCGCGGAUUCAAGUGGCGGCCGUGGUCAUUCGUGCGAUGUGUACGCAGGUCGCGCCAUGCCCUGAUUCCCUGACACGCCCGCGUGCCGUGUGGCACUGCUUGACACCCACCUCACCUCUGCCGCACCCCCCGCAACCUGCACGCCCUGCACAGCUGGAACUGGAGCGCAAGCUGCGCGCGCUGCUGACAAAGGAGAAGGAGCGCGCGGAGGAGGAGGCCGCACUGGCGAUGGGGCUGUGCGGCGGCGGGCUGGGCUUUUAAUGGUGUUGGUGGGCCCUGUUGGUGAUGGUGGGGUUAUCGUGAUGGAGCGGUGAGGCUGAAGGGACGGGGGUUAGCAGGUGAAUGCUGCGAGGUCUUGCAAUGCACAGGGUUGCAGGCGUGAGCGGGCCGGGCAGGCUGUUGUUCUGGGCCGCUUACGGACGCGCGCGGGGCGAAGCAGGUGCGCUCCGUAGGCAUGGAGGGAAGGGGCGAACGGGCCACGUUGCUCGGAGGCCUUCCGCAGCUGCUCACGCUCCGCUUGCCGAUUCCCUUGAUACGCCACAUUGUGAGACUUGCACGCACGGAACUCCAGUAAAUUGAUUUGCAUGUAUUGGCGAGGAUGCGAGAUGCCUUGUCAGUGGGGAAAGUCACUGAAUGUGCUCACGGAAUAUAAACCCCAGCGUUGUUUGGAAGGUGAUGCCGUGCCAUGGCGGUGGGCCUGUGACAGAUCCGGCCGACAAUUCCUUCGCUUGCGUGCGCUCGGCACAGCCGCUCCAUCUGUGCACGGGCGCAACCGGCACAGGGUGGCCGAUGCUGCCGAGGGAUGGGACCUAGGUGGACCCAGGCCGGCAUGGUACGGGACUAGUCAUGUGAUGACGAGGCAGGCUGUGGUCUUGAGUGGUGGGCGGUGGCGGCCGGGUCUAAAUUGCGGUGGCGGUGUGGACUCUCUAUGUCGUGUGUGUCGAGUACGAACGAAAGCCAUAGUGCGGCGUGAAGGUGCCUAGCAACCUUGCCAACAGAUCUUGCCAACUGCUUGAUAAUGCACGUAAUGUGCGGCGCGCGGAGGUCGCGCAUUGAUUGGGUUUAUGCGACCUUGCACUUUCAUGUCCGGACGCGCGUUGCUAGCCUCGAGUCUUGGGAGCCGUGGGUUGGUCAACGGAUGCGACGGAGGAGACCAGCAGGUAUGGUGCGUUAAAGGAGGCGUGCGAGUGGUGGGCGCCGCAAGCACGCACGUGGCCGCCAGCGCGUGCGUUCGACACUUGAUGCGGCCUGCAGGGGCCGCGCUGCUUGUGUACCGUACUUGUGUAACUUGGAAGUGGUGAGCUACCGUAUUUGAUGGCUGCGCUCUUCGACAAUGCGCCGAUUCCGAAAGGACUGGCGUUGAAUGUGCCUGUACUGAUUGUGCGGUGUGUGCUGCACGCAAGCCGGUCGGUGUCGAGUCCACGUGCAUCAUGCUGGUGGGCGGCCCAGACUGCAGUCACGCACUGCACGGGCGACUUGUGGCACUGGCUUCAGCGGGCUUCCCUUGUAGGGACACGUGUGUGGAUGGGUUGCAUGCAUGCAGGCCCCGUGGAAGGACCCGAGGGCACCCACACUGGAGCAGGUGUCUUUUGUUUCAGGGGCCUCGGCCCAAGAAUGCGCAAUCCUCAACCCUGUGCUCUUCCUACGAGUCGCAUGCCAUUGGAUGACCGAAACAGGGUGAACGUGUGAUCAUCAUAGCAGGGGGCGCCAAUCUCUUUUGCACCCGCGCAAACUGCAUAUAAGAAUAGCUACGGAUGUCGUACAGGCACCCACACAUACUACCAGACCUGGUGCCUGCAGCGCAAGUCGUAUGCACGUGCACGUGCAUGAGCCAUGGAACCGACCGCAUCCUCAACCGAUUGCCAACCACGCCUCCAACACCAAAAACAUAAUCCAGGACCUUCGCAGUAAUGGCACCCGUAGGUACCGUACAAUCCCUCCACCAGUGUUUCUUUGUCGUGUACUUAAUGCAGGAUUGCAGGCCAGCAGCGCGCGUUGCGGCGCGUGCAUGUGGUGGUAUUAAUGCCUGGGUGCACGUACGGGCGCUUGGCACAUGCAUACGAAUGCGUGCAUACGAAUGCGUCAUUGCGACAAUGCUCAAGCACUGAUACCCCAGGAUGGGAUGUGUUUCUUACGCUUGACCGCUUGAGUCUUCACGGCGGCGGCAAUCGCCUCCAAACUCCACCGUGCGGCGGUGGACCCAUGCCAUGCAGCCUUACUUUAAUACAACAUACAUACUUAUUAGCAGUUGUCUGAUGCCGCCUUCUCGUCCCCCUCCUUGCAUAGCUAGCAGCUACAACCGUUUCCGCAACCCACUCCAUUCCCAAGUGCACAACAUUGUACGCAUGAAGAUAUGCCAUGACCGCCUGCCCUGUUGCCAUGCACACCACCCUACCUCCCAAAUCAUGCUUCAUGCUUCAGCAUGCUUCCCAAAUAUUUUGCAUACCCCUCCUCAAAUGGAUUUUGCAGGCCGCUUCCGAAGCACAUCAAGUACCAUCAACUACAUACCCUCCCCUCGAAUCUUGCGCGCCGCAAAACCGUACGCGAUCCAUCCAGCCCUCGGCUCGUGUAGCGCUACGCGCUUGCUUUGACACACACAACCUUGUCUGUUUUGUUCUUACUCCCGCCCAGCGAAAAGUAGCUCACCGGCAGCGCCGCAGCGGCGCCGCCGCCCGCCGGCCCGCCCAGCUCUACCACCGCGGCCGGCCUCUUGCCGUGCUGCUGCUGCUGCUGCUGCUGCUGCUGCUGCUGCUGCUGCUGCUGCUGCUGCUGCUGCUGCUGCGCGGCGGAGAAGCGCCGGAACACGGACCUCAAAUGGCUCUUCACGUCCGUCUCGGGCGGCACGUGGCUGAGCAACGCAGCCUUUUGCCACUUCCUAACAACGUGGCCCAGCCCUCCAAACCUGCACACCUGUGCCCCCUGCUAGCACCCUGUUCACCGCCCGCGCCUUGUUGUGGCCCCUCACCUUGUUGUGGCCCACGCACAUGAUGACCCAGUUCCUGGCGUCAUCGCACACCUCCAGCAGGCACUCGACGAUGUGGUCUCACGUCUGGCCAUCCAGCGCUGCCACCUGCACGUGCGGCCGCCCCGCGGUUGGUCUGAGCCCACUGCCCCCACGUGCGCGCUGCCAGGGGGUUGAGCCCCACCCAAGCAGCCAUGCCGACGCGACGCCCUGUCCGCCCUGUAGCUGUCUUGGCCGACACCAUACCCCUGCCAAAGCCCGACGCCAUAACUAUGCCACCUGCUGCCAUAAAUGCAACGGCCCGUUGACAAGCGACGGAGCCCGCUGCGCGCCCACUCUCGCCAUCAAUCUCAGGCACCGCCCCAGACAUAUGGUCACAGCACCGCGGGCAGCCAGCUGCAAGUGCCAGCCAUGUUGCUGCGGAACCGUACGCACCGUGUACAGGCUGCCGUAGUAGUGCGUGUCCACGUCAGCGAGCUCGUGCAUCACUUCCGCCAUCUCGUCCAAUGUUUGCUUAGUGCGCUUGCUGUUGGAGGCAAACACCAGAUCCGAUGUCCAGCCCCGCUCCUUCAGCAUCUUGGCAACCUGUGUGUUUGCGGUGCAGGGGGAGGUUGACCUCACCAUUGCCAAUAAUCAACCAGCGCCACGAGGAUGUAGGGGCGGCCAGGCAACUGGUAGGCAAGCGGCGGCGGAACUGGAAGAGAAGAGAAUGAAGAGGUCACGGCCGGUGGAGGCAUGGCUGGGUCAUGGCGCGUUGGCGGGCGACACGGGUGGGUGUGAAGUGCGCAGGUGCGGCGGCCUGGUGUAUCAGCACUGCCUCGCGUGACGAGACAGGUGCAGGUCUAAGCUGCGUUUGACUACAGCUCCUGGAGCUGCCAUGGCGCAGCUGCAAGGCGCUCAUAGACGACCAUAGCGCCCACCAAAGGGCGGCAGCACAGCAGCCUCAGAAGGCAGGCCAGCAGGAGGAUGCGGCGGCUGCUUCGGUGCGACGUCGCUAUGGCGAGGGCUUCCGCCCGUGCGUCUUCACGAGUCGCCGGAUGAGCCUGACGCAGAGCGCGUCGCAGCUCCCGCCCGACUACAGCCGCCGCGCGACACUGCUGCUACUGCGCCUGGUCGCGGCGGCGGCGGCGUUCGCGGCUGCAGCUGCCGGCCUGGCGGCGGCGGCGCUGUGGCUGCUGGGCUGGUGGCAGCUGCUGCUGGUGCUGGCGGAGGCCUCGUUUGCGGUACACUACAGGCGCAAGUGAGUACGGCGGGGGAAGAGCAGGGAGCAAGCUGACGCCCGUGAUUGGGGGAUGUCGGGAGAAAAGUUUGGGAUACGUCUCGUCGGAGUUGGUUCAGUUGUGGCGCGUCGACGAUCAUCGGGCGCGAUGACACCGGGCACCGCGGGCAGAGGCGGGGGCUUGAAGCGAGCGUGGAGUUGAAAGAAGAAACGGAAGCCUUGAUAUAGUCAUACUGCUUUACUUACUUUUGCGAGCAUCGGCUUCAACAGACAUCUCAGCUUUGCCGAGUCACGCGACCAAGCUGCCAAACGUGCGCUAUGGCAAACGACGACAUUAGGCAUGAGCUGCAGGAGUUUAAGCUGCAGGUCGCGGAGCAGCAGCGGGCGCAGGAGCAGCGCUGGGGGCAAGAGAUGGCCGCCCUCAAGCGCGCGCUGUACGUAAUCACCAAGGGUAAGCUUGACGCGUAAGCUGCGGGGCCGGAACCGUGCUUGCUCUUGCUCUUCAGAAGAAUGCUCAAAGUUCGCCAUCGCCAGUCCGUGGAGAAUAGGAGCGCGACUAUAGCUGCACUGGUCUUUGACCCCACUGGUGUUCGUAACCCACUGGUGUUCGUGUGGCAUGCGCAGAGGACGUCGCCCAACUGCUGCGCCUGGCCCUUUCAGUCAUCGGCUACGGACAGCGCUCCUCCAGCCCAGCGCACGAAAAGCUAGCUUAGCUGCUCCUCCCCUGCUUCGCAGUGGCGGACGUGUACGCUGUGGCCACCACCUUCCUGGCGGCGUACUUGAAGACGACGCUGCCCGGAAAGGACACAGUGAGCCUGGUAAAGCAAUCCAUUAUGACCUGCUGGCUUGCCGUACAGCAGCAUUCCCCAUUGAAUCCAAUCAACGGGCAGCAGCGCUGCUCCUGCGUCCGCAGCUCUCCGCUGCUGCUCCGCGACCUGCAGGUUAAAACACCUGCAGCUCAUGCUUAUUGUCGUCGUUUGCCAUAGCGCACGUUUGGCAGCUUGGUCGCGUGACUCGGCAAGGCUUCCGUGAUCACUUUGCACGGCUACUAAAUGAUGGGGCAGGAACAGUUGACGACAGCGCUGCAAAGCAAUUACUGGCGUACUGCUGUGACGAAGAUGGCUGGCAAGAUUCGAUGUAUGAUGAUGAGGAAUGGGCUGAGUUAGAUAGCAUAUUGAACAGCGAUAUCUCGAUAGACGAAGUGACUCAUGCUUUAGAGAGGCUACCGAAUGGCAAGGCCCCAGGCAUGGAAGCCGCGCCAUCGGAAUGCUACAAGUACGCGAAGACGCAGGGAGACCCUGCCGUGCAGAAGGAUAGCCUAGCUCACGAUGCACUAAUUGAUGUAGUACAAGACGCGUUAGUACACCCAGAGGGAGAUGGGUGGUGUGCACGUCUUUUCCGUUUUAUCUCAGCGCAUGGCGUAGACGUAUGGCAAGGCCGUAUGCACAUGAUCAGGCCUGCACAUGAUCAGGCCGGAAAGGGAGGAGAGCCGAGCAGGUAGCCCGCUGCCUGAAGGGCAAAUAGUAUCCGCCUUUCGAGAGAGUCUAAUGAAGGCGUGGAAGCACGAGCGGCUGCAGUCUGAGCCAAGCACUUUCCCAUCAGACAACAAGCAACCAGGCGUGCAGAUGAGCAAGUACAAGCAUUGGAUGGGGCUGUGUGCGGAAGGAGCGGCACCACUGACCAUGCAAGGGCACAGUAGAGCAUUUAUACCAGUUGCACACCACAAGGCCUUGAUGAGGUUCCGCCUAUGCUGCUGGCCGCUUACUGCCAACCGCGCCUAUGGACGACCUAGGGAGGAGAUUUGCCCGUUAUGUGUUGCAAAUGAAGUCGAAGAUGAGAAUCAUGUGCUCAUGCGGUGUACGGCCUACGACCAGUUGCGUUCGGGUAGCGAGAUCGAUUUUACAGGCGGGAUGCAGCAGGCCGUUAUGCAGAAUGCGGACCCAGCCAGGUUAGCCGCGUCCAUUUGGGAGCACAGGAGCAGAAGCACCCCCAUUCGGGGACCAAACUAGCUGCAUAUAUAAGUGUUGCAGGCGUUUUAAGGGCCCCCCGGCCCGGGCCUCGGUUUCUACAAGGACAGGAAUGCACGUCGUGCUCACCACCUUGUAACCACACACAACAACUCGGCAAGGCACACGCACACGCACCUGAAUGUAUCCGAGUGUAGCGGAAGAUCACGUGAGAGGCCUGUGUGUGUUUCAAAAAACUAUGUGUGUGUGUGUGUGUGUGUGUACACUAGCGUGUGUGUGCGGACAGCAUUAGUGAGUUUUAUUGCACUGAUUACAGGCUGGUCUUGAUGAGGUGGCACGCUGCUCGGUAAAAAGAAGGCAGUUGCAGUGCUAGAGUCAUGGAACGCGUGUGCCAUCCGGUGCACUGGCGCCCCUACCUCACAGUGUGCGUGAUCGUACGUACUCAAGAGGGCCUACACACGCACAUCUAUAUCCCCUCCUCGCCCUCCACAGCAGCUGCCAACAGCAUCAGUGGCCCCCAUCGUAGCAGAGAGGCUAGCGCAUGCCCACGCAGACACGCUCACAUAUACACGCACCAUGUUGAGUGACGCCACCGGGCCCUGCAUGUCCUUCAGCAUUACCACCGAGAGCGCGUACAUGACAAUGACUGCGACGUUUCACAGGAAGAAUGGGACCUGUGCUGUUCAUCAUAUGGUACAUGUCAUCAUGCAAGUGUAAGAAAGGAGCAGGCGCGCGUGUCGCCAGCAUUCAUCUAGCGCUCGUCCAGUUGGUACGGUAUUGCAUAAACUGUGCACCUCGCCUUACCCAUGCCCUCGUCCCAAUAGGUGCACAGCCACACUAACGUGGCCGCAGGCCUACCUGGUUUGCUGCAGCACCGGCGUUUGAGGCAUCCCUAGCGCGCCCCACCGCUAGUGCUCUGCACGCAGCUGCUGUGUAGCGGUCCGACGCCACGCCAGGCAAGGAUCGAAGCGCCUGCCAUCGGCCAGCCCUGGCCAGCCAGCGCGCUGCCAGCUGCGCCUAGGCCGACGGCGUUGCAGGCGGCACGCCCCUGGGGUCCAGAGCAGGGUGUUCGUUCUCCACGUCACUGGCUCGUGAACUGCGUCAGCAGGUCCCUCUUGUAACCAAUGCAAUCUGCGCCUGCGGGCCGGCCUCAUUCCACUGGCCCUGCUGCUGUCACUUGGUAUCACCGUCGCCGCUGUUCAUCAGCACGGCGGCGGCAUCAGCCGCACUUAGCCCGUCUGCUUCCUCAAGUGCAGCAGCCUCGUGGCUCGUUAGGUCCAUGCCCAGCACCACAGCUGCGGCCGCGCUGGGUUGGCUGGCCUCCAGUGGAGGAAGAGGUGGUGGACCGGGCUAUACGUCAAGACUUGAAUGAUUCAUUGAAAGCCCAGUCUAAUAAAGCUCAGAAUGUCUUUUGAAGAGAAGAGGAGACUGAGGAAGAGCAAGUUGACGCGAGCUGUGGCUUAUGUUUAACCAGGGGGUGGGUGUUUCCCUCUGGGCCGGAGACGGUCCCUCGCGGCGGUGUGCCCCUUACGGCCCCUUCAAUGUCUGUCCCUUCAAUUGUAACUCGCAACCUUAUGUUUGCGCAUCUUCCGUUCGAAUUAUAAUGCCAUGUGUGAAAUAACAUACGGUAAGACAUUGAUGCAGCCACGCACCAAAAGUCGGUUCC
This 44459-nucleotide long non-coding RNA is filed under the name Chlamydomonas reinhardtii. Its description in RNAcentral is "long non-coding RNA (CREI_LNC001140)". Lineage: Eukaryota; Viridiplantae; Chlorophyta; Chlorophyceae; Chlamydomonadales; Chlamydomonadaceae. The record is from RNAcentral.